This 862-nucleotide long non-coding RNA is filed under the name Homo sapiens (human). Its description in RNAcentral is "HSALNT0296907". The record is from RNAcentral. Lineage: Eukaryota; Metazoa; Chordata; Mammalia; Primates; Hominidae.
GUUGUAGCCAUGGAGACCUCAGAUUUGGUUGAAAUAAAUAGACAAAAUUAAAACCUGCACAAAAAGUUGGUAUCAGAACAAACAAUAUUGACAGUUUAUAUUUCAAGAGUAUUUUUGUCUGAGGAAAUCAAUCAUUCUACAGACAUGACCUCAUUCUGAUCUCUCAGGCUGUAAGAUCCACAAGAGUAGAGACAAUUGCUGGCCGUGCUUAUCACUGUGGACCCAAAGCCUGAAGUAGCAUCUGGUUCAUUAAACACAUGAUGAAUAUAUGUUGAAUAACUAAAUGAAUGAAAACACCGUUCUUCAAGCUCCCACUAACACCUUACCACUCUCUACCAUGUCAACUUAUUUUAUUAUAACAAUUGCUCAUCAUUAAACCGUAUGGUCCUGGAAGAAAAAGACUGUUUUUAAGUCUAUAAAGUCAUAUUUAUAUGUGAAAUCAUAAUUACAUCCCCAUAACACAAUGUCCUGCAUAUGGUAGAUAUUCAGUUAUUCAGAAUGAGAAAAAUGGAAUGAGUGAAUGAAUUGCUAUAUGGGCAGGGCAGCUUGCCAGUGAUGCUCUCAAGUGAUCCUUUUUCUUAAAUAAAUCUUUCCUUCCUGGUUUUGAUAAUAGUUUCCAUAUAACACCAAAAUAUAACUGAAACGUAAAAACAUUGCUUUGUGCUCCAGAUGUUUCAUUUUCAGAAGCCAAACAUCCAGAUCAUUUGGACCCAUAUGAAAAACUGAGCAUCUCUUCAUCCAAAUGUUUGGCAUUUUCUUGGCUUAUUCAGAGUCCAAAGGAAGAAAGAAAUGGAUGCGUUACCCCUACGCCAUCAAUACAGAGAGAAAAUGAAAAUAAAUAAUUAGUAUGAUUAAAGCCCAC